CCGUUCUGUGGAUUGUUUGUCUCUUUGUUGUGCUUCUGUGAGAGGCUUUGUUCCCGGGACUUUGGCCCUUUGUCUGCUAGCAGCUGUCUUCCCGCAUCUGUGGUCCAUCUCUGACCUCUCUGUGCUGGCGUCCGCAUUUCCCAUCUCAGGAAGAGUUGGGGUCUUGCGCCUUCCUCCACGCGGCUUGGUGUCCCUGGCUCUCGUCUUCCUGGGCGAGGGCCUGCCUGUGUGCGCGGGGUGCUGUUCUGCUUGCUGGGGCCAGUCCAGACGGUGGGAAGCGAACGUUUCCCAGCCCCGAGGGCCCUCGGUGAGGGGAGAAGAGGCAGUGACACGGCGGCGGCAGGGCCCUGGUCGCCGCCCGGGGCGGGGGGUGGGGUGGCGGGGGUCACAAGGCGGCUGAGCGCGGGCCGGCUCGGAUCCUGGGCCGGCAGUGUGGGAAGUCUCGGUCGACGCUGCCCGUCGGGCCUGCCCAGAGGCCGGACGGGGCCAGGCACCAGGCUCUGGCAGCGAGGCAUCUCCAUACCAGCGGGCACCAGCAGGACCGCACGGGGCCACGGCGCAGAUGCAGAGGAGGACAGAACGGAGGGCAUCCAGGAGAUGGAGAGAGGCAGGGGCAGGAGGCCUGGGCUUCACCCCUGGGUGGUCUGGAGGACACAGGCCACGCAUUGGAGAGAGGCUGCAUGUCGGGAACUUUCCAUCUUAGCGGGAAGGGUACAGAAGACCAGAGCGGGCACAGGUUGGUGUGCCCCCUCCUGAGGCCCGGCAGAGCCAAGGAGGGCUGGAGCCUCAGGAGGAGCCCUGGGAGGAGGACCAGGGCCACCGGGUCAACCAGUAGUGGGAGGGUGGAGCCGAGGCACAGACGCCCAGGGCAGAGGCUGGAGCCUGGUGGCCUCCUGGUCCCUGCUCUAGAUUCUAGCAGCCACCAGCCUCCAGGCCCAGCAGAGCAAGGGAGAGUGGGUGGGCAGGGGGCAGAACUCAACAGUGGCACACGCCUGCAUCUGUGAAAUGGGGAUGGGGGGGUCUGGUGAAAGAACAUUCCAGAACAUUCCGCCGUGGCUGCUGGAACUCCAUGGCAGACGCAGAAGGCUCAGCACGAGGGGCCAGACGAAGCUGAGAAGAACUGGAGACUGGAGCUGAAACAGGUGGAAACAGACAAAAAAGAAACUGGAGGCCCCUUGCAGGAGCCCUGGUACCCCAGGAGCAGGCACAGCCUGUGGAGAAGACGGGGGUCUUGGCGCUCCUCCCGGCAGGAUGCGUCAUCUGGGCCCCUCCCCCGGCCAUGCAGGCGCCGAGCUGCGGGCAGGGCCCAGGUGGGGACGCGGCCCCUGACAUGUUGGCCCCUCCGCUCUGAGGGGUCAGUGUGUUCUCCACGCACUGUCUGCCCAGAGUCUGCAGCGAGUGAGUGAGCGUGUGAGCGAGCA
Molecule: long non-coding RNA, 1421 nt
Organism: Leopardus geoffroyi (Geoffroy's cat)
Lineage: Eukaryota; Metazoa; Chordata; Mammalia; Carnivora; Felidae
Exons: 3
Source: RefSeq, a predicted model, not a curated record